This 107-nucleotide small RNA is filed under the name Marmota monax (woodchuck). Lineage: Eukaryota; Metazoa; Chordata; Mammalia; Rodentia; Sciuridae. The record is from RNAcentral.
GCCAGGCGUGGUGGCCCACACCUGUAAUCCAUGCUAUGAGGGAGGCUGAGGCAGGAAUAUUGCAAGUUUAAGGCCAGCCUAGGCAUCUUAGAGAGAUCUUGUCUCAA